AGGGUAAUAGUUAAUCAUAACAUUUAAUUUGCACUUAGAAAGUAUUGCUAGUCAAUUUACCUU
This 63-nucleotide transfer RNA is filed under the name Hybosorus sp. HYB01. RNAcentral describes it as "tRNA-Ala". RNAcentral also lists the same sequence under 1 other name. The record is from RNAcentral. Lineage: Eukaryota; Metazoa; Arthropoda; Insecta; Coleoptera; Hybosoridae.